Molecule: long non-coding RNA, 201 nt
Organism: Eriocheir sinensis (Chinese mitten crab)
Lineage: Eukaryota; Metazoa; Arthropoda; Malacostraca; Decapoda; Varunidae
Exons: 4
Source: RefSeq, a predicted model, not a curated record
CAGGAAUACUAUGACGGGCGCUGCCCUCAGGUUGAUGACGUAUCGGCGCCGCGUCCCUGACCGUUCAAUGUGUGUCACGAGUCUCGACCACCGAUCCAAGAAGGAAACUAGUUGGCAAAAGAGACUAAUUGCUUCCCUCUUAAUGGAUCGCAAUAGUAAGGUAAGUCGCUGUUAUUUUUUUUCUUCUUUUAUCACUCUACU